Long non-coding RNA from Piliocolobus tephrosceles (Ugandan red Colobus), 2286 nucleotides. Lineage: Eukaryota; Metazoa; Chordata; Mammalia; Primates; Cercopithecidae. The record is from Ensembl.
AUGAAAGUGGUUGUGUCCAGGACAGGCGCAGCUGCCGUUCCCGACGAGGGGCGCAGAAUGCGGCGGCGGCCAGCCUGGAGCGCAGGCCCUGGGGCGCCCGCGCCGGGCGAGGUGGCAGCACACCCAGGCCCCCCAGGCAGUCCUGAGGAUGGCCAGCAGAGAAACAAGAAAAUGGACUCCCUGGCUGCUGGAGAGUUGAAUGCCAGGCACCAGCCAUGGGUACCAGAGUUCGUAGCGCAUUGGAGGAAAACACAUCAAGACACUGCCAAGGAAGAUACACAUUACAACAGCAUGCUGCAACACCUCUGCCCAUGCAAGACAACAGCAGCCCACAUCCAGAAAACGGACAUCUUCCCACCCCACUGGCUCACUCCACUGAGCUGGAAGUGGCCUUUGUCAGGACCCUUUGAGGUCUUGAGUGGAUCUACUUUUCCCAAGAUAUUAAACCAGUGACUUUCAAUCCUGGCUGCACAUUACUGUCAUCUGGAUAUUAAAAAAUAUUGAUGCCUGGAUCUUGCUCCCACCCAAAAGAAUCUGACUGGAUUGAUGGGGGUUUCAAAAAUUUUUUAAGUGUUUGUUAAAGGAUGACAUAUAUGCAAAAAAAAAAAAAAAAAAAAAAGCACAAACCAUAAGUGUAAAGCUCAGUGAAUUUUCACAAAUGAAUUUACCCCGAGUAACCAGCAUCCAAAUCAUGAAACACAACAUCACCAGCAACCCCUGGCACCCCUUCUGCUUACUACUUGACUCCAAAGGCUAACGUCCAUUCUGUCUUCUAAUGGUAUGGAAUCGUUUCUCCUGUUUUCAAACUUUAUAUGAUGUAAAUGGAAUCAUGCAGUAUAUAUCCUCUUGUUAUGUUCGUGAGAUGAUUCAUCCAAGUUGUUACUUAGAGCUGCAGUUUAUUCACUCUUCUUGCUAUAGGGUAUUCCACUCUAUGGAUAUUCCUCAAUUUCUCUAUCCGUUCUACUGUGAUGGAUUUUUGGAUAUUCGAGUUAUUAUUUACAGUUCGGAACUAUUAUGACUAUUGCAAUGACAUGCUAGUGUGUAUUUUUGGAGCACAUUUAUAUCCAUUGCUGGGCAAGUAUGGAUAUGAGUAUGUUCAGCUUUAGUACCUGUGCCAAAUAAUGUUCCCAGGUGGCUGUACCCAUUUACAUUCCCUCCAGCAAUGUAUGAGAGUUCUGGUUGCUUCACAUUUUUGCCAGCCAUUGAUAUUUUCUAUCUUUUUCAUGUUAGCCAUUCUGGCAGGUAUGUAGCGAUAUCACAAUGUGGUUUGAAUUUGCAUUUCCCUGAUGACUAAUACAGCUGAGCAACUUUUCGUAUGUUUGUUAGCCAUUUAGAUCUUCUCUUUGCAAAGUGCUUGUUGGAAUAUUUGGACAUGAGUAUUUUUUAAAAGCUCCUUAGGUAACUCUACUGUGUAGCCAGGGUGGAAAACCACUGAACUAAAACCACAAAUUAGUAUCUGUGGCUCCCUUUCUUCAUGCUUUGCCCUUGAACUUAGAGCAUUUUGGAUCUGCGAGGACCUCAUGGAACUGGGAAAAGAUUAUCUUCACUCCUUACUAAGAUGAGACUGUCAGGAAGAAGCGAGAGAUUGGAGCUGGCAGUUAAGAAUCUUUAGGAAUGUGACCUCUGCUUCAGAAGGGUCUGGGGAGGGCCUGUGGUGUCCACAGCUGCCACAGACAUUUCCUAGCCACAAAAAUGGCCUCGUGGUCUCCCCAGAGCUCCAGGCAGUCAUGGCGAGGAAGCGGAGGACCCCAUGCCAGGUACUUCCCAGUUUCUAGGCCAACAUGAAUGGGACACAGUUCAUAUGGGGUUGUGGUUAGACUGGGGAUAGUGGAGCAUGUGUUCUGGGGACCUGCGUGUGGCCAAGGGAGGCCUGCUGUCUGUGGCCUUUGUCCCAGAUAGGAAAUCAGCCAGUGGGACUCUCCUGCAUGGGUCCAGGCCUGGCUAGCUCUUGAAUUCUGUGGGUUUGCAUGUGGGUCCUUACACAUGCGUCCUAGAGCAGGGUCCCAGGGGGCCACCCCACCCCUCCUUGACCCCUCACUCCUCUGAGCUGGGAAACACAUGGCAUGAGAGAACAUACUGUGGCUUCUAACGACAUCGUGUCUUGAUUGCAUCCCCAUUGCAUCGUCUGGGCUCAUCUCAUCCCCACCUCUGGACUGUAACAUCAUCCCAGGGACUGCCAGACACUCCUCUGUGCUCCCCCACAGCGAGUAUAAUGCCAUUUGGUAAUUCAGUACAGCCUCUUCCAACUUGAGAAGGAAGAUGCAAUAAAAAAAAACAGACCACACA